AGCAGCCGCGGUAAUUCCAGCUCCAAUAGCGUAUAUUAAAGUUGUUGCAGUUAAAAAGCUCGUAAUUGAAUUUCGGGACCAAUCUGCCGGUCGUGCCUCCGGUACGCACUGGUCUUAUUGGUCUCUCCCUUCUGACGAACCACGAUGUCAUUAAUUUGGUGUCAUGGGGAAUCAGGACUGUUACUUUGAAAAAAUUAGAGUGUUUAUAGCAGGCUCACGCUUGAAUACAUUAGCAUGGAAUAAUGAAAUAGGACGUUUGACCCUAUUUUGUUGGUUUCUAGGAUCGACGUAAUGAUUAAUAGGGAUAGUUGGGGGCAUUAGUAUUCAAUUGUCAGAGGUGAAAUUCUUGGAUUUAUCGAAGACUAACUAUUGCGAAAGCAUUUGCCAAGGAUGUUUUCAUUAAUCAAGAACGAAAGUUAGGGGAUCGAAGGACGAAUCAGAUACCGUCGUAGUCUUAACCAUAAACUAUGCCGACUAGGGAUCGGAUGAUGUUAAUUUUUUAAUGACU
This 508-nucleotide ribosomal RNA is filed under the name uncultured Glomus. RNAcentral describes it as "SSU rRNA". It matches the Rfam family "Eukaryotic small subunit ribosomal RNA", at positions 569 to 1076 of the family's 1831-position model. Lineage: Eukaryota; Fungi; Glomeromycota; Glomeromycetes; Glomerales; Glomeraceae. The record is from RNAcentral.